Molecule: long non-coding RNA, 415 nt
Organism: Portunus trituberculatus (swimming crab)
Lineage: Eukaryota; Metazoa; Arthropoda; Malacostraca; Decapoda; Portunidae
Exons: 3
Source: RefSeq, a predicted model, not a curated record
GUGGCGUUGGUUUGUGAGUGACGCGGGAGUGCCGGCGGGUUUGCGAGCAUUCCGGGUAGUGCUAUUUGGCCCAAACCUCACUCCUCCCUUCUUCGCAUCGUUAAUGUAAGUACCAUGUCACAGCUCAUCGCGGGACUGCGUGGGACAGCGCGGGAGCUUCUCUUCGGUGUCAAGGAAAGUGAAGACUUUUUCCUAGGCGUUAGGUUGAUAGGUUGCUAGGCUCCUAACCCUUCUUUCCUUACAGGUACACCUUAAUUGCUUUUGAGUACUUACAGAUAUGUCAGUCGAAGUUGCCGCAGAGCGGGUGCAAUGAGAGUUGUAUGGCAGUAAGCCAAGGAAAGGAGUGCUGCGGAGUCAUUCAUAUAGAGAAUGUGCGAGUGAUGCAUUGAAUCUGAAUAGAGGUGGCGCGUGUCAC